This 440-nucleotide ribosomal RNA is filed under the name uncultured bacterium. RNAcentral's name for it is "partial 16S ribosomal RNA". It matches the Rfam family "Bacterial small subunit ribosomal RNA", at positions 338 to 795 of the family's 1533-position model. The record is from RNAcentral.
CCUACGGGAGGCAGCAGUAGGGAAUAUUGGUCAAUGGAGGAAACUCUGAAGCAGCAAAGAAGCGUGGAGGAUGAAGGUUUUAGGAGUGGAAACUCCUUUUGUGAGAGAAGAUAAAGACGGUAUGUCACGAAUAAUCACCGGCUAACUCCGUGCCAGCAGGCGAGGCACUGCGGAGGGAGCAAGCGUUACUCGGAUUCACUGGGCGUAAAGCGUGCGCAGGGGGGGUUGUAAGUCAGAUGUGAAAUCCUGUAGCUUAACUACAGAACUGCAUUUGAAACUGUGAGUCAAGAGUGUGGGAGAGGUAGGCGGAAUUCUUGGUGUAGGGGUUAAAUGCUUAGAUAUCAAGAGGAAUACUCAUUGCGAAGGCGACCUACUGGAACAUUACUGACGCUCAUGCACGAAAGCGUGUGGAGCAAACAGGAUUAGAUACCCUAGUAGUC